This 242-nucleotide ribosomal RNA is filed under the name Populus sp. Its description in RNAcentral is "partial large subunit ribosomal RNA". It matches the Rfam family "Eukaryotic large subunit ribosomal RNA", at positions 104 to 344 of the family's 3401-position model. Lineage: Eukaryota; Viridiplantae; Streptophyta; Magnoliopsida; Malpighiales; Salicaceae. The record is from RNAcentral.
AGAGCCCAGCUUGAGAAUCUGGCGCCUGCGGCGUCCGAAUUGUAGUCUGGAGAAGCGUCCUCAGCGGCGGACCAGGCCCAAGUCCCCUGGAAAGGGGCGCCGGAGAGGGUGAGAGCCCCGUCGUGGCUGGACCCUGCCGCACCACGAGGCGCUGUCUGCGAGUCGGGUUGUUUGGGAAUGCAGCCCCAAUCGGGCGGUAAAUUCCGUCCAAGGCUAAAUACGGGCGAGAGACCGAUAGCAAA